This 249-nucleotide ribosomal RNA is filed under the name uncultured Lactobacillus sp. RNAcentral's name for it is "partial 16S ribosomal RNA". It matches the Rfam family "Bacterial small subunit ribosomal RNA", at positions 112 to 354 of the family's 1533-position model. Lineage: Bacteria; Bacillati; Bacillota; Bacilli; Lactobacillales; Lactobacillaceae. The record is from RNAcentral.
AACACGUGGGCAACCUGCCCUGAAGCGGGGGAUAACAUCUGGAAACAGGUGCUAAUACCGCAUAACAACGAAAACCACAUGGUUUCGUUUCAAAGAUGGUUUCGGCUAUCACUUCAGGAUGGGCCCGCGGUGCAUUAGCUAGUUGGUAAGGUAACGGCUUACCAAGGCGAUGAUGCAUAGCCGAGUUGAGAGACUGAUCGGCCACAAUGGAACUGAGACACGGUCCAUACUCCUACGGGAGGCAGCAGA